UAGGGAAUAUUGGACAAUGGAGGAAACUCUGAUCCAGCCAUGCCGCGUGAAUGAUGAAGGCCUUCGGGUUGUAAAGUUCUUUAGUCCGGGAAGAUAAUGACGGUACCGGAAGAAUAAGCUCCGGCUAACUCUGUGCCAGCAGCCGCGGUAAUACAGAGGGAGCUAGCGUUGUUCGGAAUUACUGGGCGUAAAGCGCGCGCAGGCGGCCAUUUAAGUCAGAUGUGAAAGCCCGGGGCUUAACCUCGGAACUGCAUUUGAAACUGAGUGGCUAGAGUAUGGUAGGGGAGAGGGGAAUUCCUAGUGUAGCGGUGAAAUGCGUAGAGAUUAGGAGGAACACCAGUGGCGAAGGCGCCUCUCUGGGCCAUUACUGACGCUGAGGCGCGAAAGCGUGGGGAGCAAACAGG
Molecule: ribosomal RNA, 404 nt
Filed under: uncultured bacterium
Lineage: Bacteria
Description: bacterial SSU rRNA
Rfam family: Bacterial small subunit ribosomal RNA
Source: RNAcentral